Small nuclear RNA from Dipodomys ordii (Ord's kangaroo rat), 113 nucleotides. The record is from Ensembl. Lineage: Eukaryota; Metazoa; Chordata; Mammalia; Rodentia; Heteromyidae.
GUGCUUGCUUGGGUAACACAUAGACUAAAAUUGGAAGGAUGCAGAGAAGAUUAGCAUGACUUCUGGGCAACAUGACCCAUGACCUGCAGACUCAUGAAGUGUUUUACAUUCUU